CAAUUAUACAGCGAAACUGCGAAUGGCUCAUUAUAUAAGUUAUCGUUUAUUUGAUAGUACCUUACUACUUGGAUAACCGUGGUAAUUCUAGAGCUAAUACAUGCUAAAAAUCCCGACUUCGGAAGGGAUGUAUUUAUUAGAUUAAAAACCAAUGCCCUCUGGGCUCUCUGGUGAUUCAUGAUAACUUCUCGAAUCGCAUGGCCUUGCGCCGGCGAUGGUUCAUUCAAAUUUCUUCCCUAUCAACUUUCGAUGUUUGGGUAUUGGCCAAACAUGGUCGCAACGGGUAACGGAGGGUUAGGGCUCGACCCCGGAGAAGGAGCCUGAGAAACGGCUACUACAUCCAAGGAAGGCAGCAGGCGCGCAAAUUACCCAAUCCCGACACGGGGAGGUAGUGACAAUAAAUACUGAUACAGGGCUCUUUCGGGUCUUGUAAUUGGAAUGAGUACAAUUUAAAUCCCUUAACGAGGAACAAUUGGAGGGCAAGUCUGGUGCCAGCAGCCGCGGUAAUUCCAGCUCCAAUAGCGUAUAUUAAAGUUGUUGUGGUUAAAAAGCUCGUAGUUGAACCUUGGGCCUGGCUGGCCGGUCCGCCUCACCGCGUGUACUGGUCCGGCCGGGCCUUUCCCUCUGUGGAACCUCAUGCCCUUCACUGGGCGUGACGGGGAAACAGGACUUUUACUGUGAAAAAAUUAGAGUGCUCCAGGCAGGCCUAUGCUCGAAUACAUUAGCAUGGAAUAAUGAAAUAGGACGUGCGGUUCUAUUUUGUUGGUUUCUAGGACCGCCGUAAUGAUUAAUAGGGACAGUCGGGGGCAUCAGUAUUCAAUUGUCAGAGGUGAAAUUCUUGGAUUUAUUGAAGACUAACUACUGCGAAAGCAUUUGCCAAGGAUGUUUUCAUUAAUCAGGAACGAAAGUUAGGGGAUCGAAGACGAUCAGAUACCGUCGUAGUCUUAACCAUAAACUAUGCCGACUAGGGAUCGGACGAUGUAAAUAAUUGACUCGUUCGGCACCUUACGAGAAAUCAAAGUGUUUGGGC
Molecule: ribosomal RNA, 1030 nt
Filed under: Simplicillium obclavatum
Lineage: Eukaryota; Fungi; Ascomycota; Sordariomycetes; Hypocreales; Cordycipitaceae
Description: SSU rRNA
Rfam family: Eukaryotic small subunit ribosomal RNA
Source: RNAcentral